Non-coding RNA from Sus scrofa (pig), 4533 nucleotides. The record is from RefSeq and is a predicted model, not a curated record. NCBI's taxonomy places the organism in Eukaryota, Metazoa, Chordata, Mammalia, Artiodactyla, Suidae.
AUGUAGGCCGACAGAUGUAGCUCCAAUUUGACCCCUAGCCUGGAAACUUCCAUAUGCCAUGGGUGUGGCCUUAAAAAGCAAAAAAAAUAAAUAAAUACUGCCCUGAAAAAGCUGGUUAAGACAGGUGGAUACAUUUGACUGAUGAGACCAUUUAAAGUCUGGAAAAAAACAAGUAUAAUUUGGGGGUUCUUCACUAAUGGCUAAAAGCCUUGCCAGGUGUAUCAACUGGCCAGACAUUUGAAGUGUAGUCACAUUGGCCCUUUGUUCCAUCCUCUCUCUGACCUUCCAAACAAAGCAGGACUGCCUAUCAUCUUCACGACCCCGUUUUAGGGGAGAAUAAGGGAAAAUUACCAUCCCGCCCCUUGCUGCACGUCGUCACCAGGGAAUCGUGACUUAGAUCUGCUGUAAAAGCAAACCUCAGGCUGGAUGAAUCAGAGGUGGGUGGCCUGCUGCCUUCUCGGAGAGAAACAGCCCCAGUGAGGGUGCUUUGAAAUCAGGGGGAAAGAAUCCUCCACACGUGUCUCAAUUUUCACCAUUUGCAUCUGACCACAAGAAGAAACCCCCGACAAUCUGUUUUCUUUUAAUAUUUUUUUUGUGGGCCCUUUGACAUGUAAUAUGGUUUAUUAUUCUAUUUCUUUUUCUGGUGUGUCUAAAAUUACUAAAGCCAUAAAAGAUUGUUAUUUUGAAACUUCAAACAGUGCAGAAAUGGGUCAAGUUACGGGGGCAGGUCUUCCUACCUCCCUCUAAUUCCACUUCCCACGAUGAACCACGUGAUUGCUUUGGCUCCAUCCCCACCAGAUCUUGCUAGACAUUUAACACACAUGUAGAGUGUUUACACAUGAGAGUAUGCUACAAGUAUGUCAGAUGAUUCUGCUUUAUUUGUUUUCAUUGAAUAUCAGGACCAGGAUGAGGGCGGGUUGAGGGAGGCAGCCUGGCCACAGAAUGUAAGGAGGCGCCCACUCCCAGGUACACACUAUUGCAGGAUCAGCACUGCUACAAAUCCGGGGGUAAAUGCCUCUUAAAUUUUGUGCCCCAGGCACCUCACUCCUAAAGAGACACUUACAGGGUCCUGCAGAUGGGCCCUAGACUGGCUUCUUCCUCCUUGACUGUUAUAUCUUAGAUAUCUUUGUCUGUUCAAAUAGGUCUGCCUCACUUCUUUUCACAGUGUGGUUGAAAUUUAAAGGGGAACUAUUUCCUCAAUUUCAUUUCUAGCUACCCAGUGAGUAUACAACAGGAACAAAACUACUUGGGUAUAACUUUUGGAGAUGUCUUGCCUCCACUACCUUCUAGAAACUUCUAUGCCGGUGUUGUCUCCCUUCUCAGCCCUUUCCUUGAGCAGCCCUAUUAACGAGUUGAGAGGCUGAGGGUGAGAAACCGUGAGAGGCCAAGUAGAUUUACAUUGGGAAAGGCUCAGGAGUUCCUGUUGUGACUCAGUGGGUUAAGAACCCAAUGAAUAUCCAUGAAGAUGUGGGUUUGAUCCCUGGCUUCACAUGGUGGGUUGCUGUGAGCUGAGCGUAGGUCACAGAGGAGGCUCAGAUCUGGCAUGGCUGUGGCGGUGGCUACGGCUCUGAUUUGACCUCCAUAUGCCACAGGUGCAGCCCUGAAAAAGACCAAAAAAAAAAAAAAAAGGCUCAAAGUUACUUGGGAAAAGGGGGCAAGAGAGAGUCUUCAGGAGGAGGCAGGAAAAGGGCAGUUGGUGAGAGCAGCUGCCUCUGUGAGUGAGACUUUGGGAAAAGAAAUGCCUACAGAGGAAAUUUAGCAUGGGAGACGCACAUGUGCUCCAAUCUUUGCUACCCUUUCACAUCCUUUUGGAAGAGCCUUACAUCACUCCUCCAGGUUUCCUGGAGUUGAGUUCGUGUUGUUUGGGGUGCAUCAUGGCCUCAAGGUCAGUUGGCCAUAACUGGCUUACAUGUAUCUCCUGGGUGAAGGUGAAGUGGGAUCACUGGAAGCUGGAAAAACAUUACUCAUUUCUCAAAGAAUCAGCUUUCCUCCCUACUGACUCCUAAUAGGGAGUCAUGAAGAUACAAGCUCACAGACUACUUUGAGAAGUUCUAAGAAGUUCCGAAACUACUCAGAAUAAUGCAGGGAAACAAAUGUAUACCCAACUUUGCCAGCAGUAUUCAGGGGGUCCUUGAAGCCCAGAGGUCCAACCAGAGACCCUCUGUCAAGAAUGCAGAGGAAGUGUCUGCCUAAUGCUGCAAAUCAAAUCAUCCUGACAUUUUGCCCAAUCAGUGAGCCUCACAGUCUCCCAGAGUACCUGGUAGAGGCAGAUAGGAACUUGAAACCUGAGUAUUCUGGUGCUUUGGUCUCUCCAGCUUGACAACAGAAAGAAUAUUUGGGAGUUUGGCAGAAGCGUCUGACCUAGAAAUCUUACAAUGGGAGUUUGUCUCUGAAAUCCCAGUGGAGACCAUUAGUGGAGUGAUUUGUAGCCCCCUUGCUUGGCUAGGUGUGCCAAGAGCUGUUGUAUUUUUAGGAGGCAGCCAUCUAGGAGUGAAAAGGGAGCAGGCAAGUAUAUUCUAAGCACCACUGAGGAGUCUCAGGUGGAAGAUGAAGAAAAAGGAGAAUGUAAAUUUUUAGUGACUGGGCAAAGCCUGGAAGAAUGCAGGUGAAGACCAGCCUUGAAAAGAAAUACCAGGAGACUGGUUAGUGGGGGAAACCCACUUCUUUUUCUUCUCCUCCUCUUUCCCCUCCUUUAAAAGCUAUUCUAACAUCACAAGGGAUAGGAGAGGACCGUUCCCCUUUCUGACCUUGAGUGAGAGUGAUUGCGAGAGAAUCAUGGGUCAUCUUGGCCUGACUUCCCCUCAAAGCAAGCCCUAAGACAAGAACCUUAUUGCAAGUAGUUUCUUUUGGGGAACUCAAGGAAAUGCUGGAAGGAGGAUGGAGAAGUGGGCCAGGGAAAGGAAGGCAGCCUCUCAAAGUGUGUGCUGUGGGGUGCAGUUUCACUGUGGGCUUAAUGCCACUGGACAUCUCAGAGCAUCAGUAGAGAACAUGCCUUCAGAGAUAGCACCAUGUAAGCACCUGGGUGUUUAUUCAUUACAUCUGGAGAGCCAUUGAUUAGGGACUGAUCCUGGAGCAUGUUAAUUCCCUGGCAAUUUCAGUCUGCUCCAUGCUUGGGCAGGAUAGGCUCCCAGUAGUCAGAGAAAGCCUUCAGGCAAAGAGAUUCAGGUGCUGGCAAUUGGGAAUCAUGUUUGCGUGUACUAAAAUAAUAACAGCUGAAGGGAUCCACGGGGCACCGCAGCUUCUACUCAAUUUGUUAUCAUUAGCAGAGCCUUUAAGGAGCAGAGCGUAGCCUGAUGGUCCCUCGAUGCUUGCUUGCCGAGCAGCCAAAGCCAACAGGCCCUCCUGGUGGAGCCAGCCAGUGGAGAAGAGCUGAGGGUUGUUGCAAGAGCUCAGAAGCUGGGCUGUGAACUUGAACAAGGAGCCUUGUGCCUGUUUCUGAUCUAGAGAUACCCCAUGACAGCAGAGCUUGAAGGGGCCAUGGCGUGGUUCAGUUGGAAUAAAAUGAGACAACUUCAGGACAAACUCCACUGCAGUUGGCAGUUGCAGACACCAGCACUUCCUACAGUUGUGCAUGAAAAAGCAUGGAGGUUGGAGUAUAAGAAGGAGUUGUAGGGUUUGCCUUGGAGGCCAUGGGUCACACAGUGGAAUGUCCAACAUGGAAAAGUAGCUGUCGGCUGAAAUUGCUGUUGAUGCCAAAGGGAGACAUGGCCACUCCUCUGGGAGAAAUCUUCCUCAUUGGAGAGAGACUGGGGAAAGCUCAGUACAACCACCUGUGUGGUGGUUGCCAUGGCAAUAGGGAUGCGCAGUGUCACACGGAGCCCCAGGGAACCAGGAAUGCCAGGAAACUUCACCAGCACUGACAGCAGACAUUCAGAAACUUCAAGAAUUAAAAGCAAAGGAAGGAGACGGAUAGGAAGAAGUCAAUUUUGCAAUGACACCUCCCAACAGGCUGCAAAUUCUUGAUAAAUUUAUGAACAGUUGCAAAUGUUUAGCAACAGUGUUGCCAAGACUGUCCUUGGAGAAAAGAUUCCAGAUGAGAAGGAUAUUUUUCAGCAAACUCUCUUGUCUGCAGGCUCAGGGAGAUCUGGCAGGGGCUGACAGCCAUGAAGCCCAACACAUAGGAAGCACCCACUGGCUUCUUCAAGCUUCUCACAAAAUGUGAUGCACGAUGCUUUCAUUCACAAUUACAGCAAAUAAAAGCAACAUGAUAAAAGAAUAGCAUUGGGAGGCCAUGUGCAUAACAUUAAUGAACAUGUUGCAAAUCUGUCUUUUGGUGAGCCUGACAGGCGAAGGCGGAGUUUGCUGGUUUGAGGUGUCACCACCCUGAGCUUGCCAGGGAUUCGGGGAGGGGUAUUAGAAUGAUAUUAUGGAAUAAUAGCUAAUUUUUUGAGGGCUUCCUCUAUGCCAGGCUCUGUGCUCUUUGCAGGCAAUACCAAUGAAAUGAGUUGUAUUAAUCCAAUUUUGUGCUGAACAAACUGAGGUUGGAAACAGGAGAAUUGAUAAAGGCUAAUAAACAGUUAACUCAUGCCUGAA